CGGUGUUUAACUGGCGUGAUGUGGGACGUCCUACCGGUGGGCUUAGCCUCGCGAGGGGCGGCCCAACUAAUAUCCCGUCGCGGUGCUCUUUACUGAGUGUCGAGUCGGGCCGGUACGUUUACUUUGAACAAAUUAGAGUGCUUAAAGCAGGCUAUCCUCGCCUGAAUACUGCGUGCAUGGAAUAAUGGAAUAGGACCUCGGUUCUAUUUUGUUGGUUUUCGGAACCCCGAGGUAAUGAUUAAUAGGGGCAGAUGGGGGCAUUCGUAUUGCGACGUUAGAGGUGAAAUUCUUGGAUCGUCGCAAGACGGACAGAAGCGAAAGCAUUUGCCAAAAAUGUUUUCAUUAAUCAAGAACGAAAGUUAGAGGUUCGAAGGCGAUCAGAUACCGCCCUAGUUCUAACCAUAAACGAUGCCAGCUAGCGAUCCGCCGAAGUUCCUCCGAUGACUCGGCGGGCAGCUUCCGGGAAACCAAAGCUUUUGGGUUCCGGGGGAAGUAUGGUUGCAAAGCUGAAACUUAAAGGAAUUGACGGAAGGGCACCACCAGGAGUGGAGCCUGCGGCUUAAUUUGACUCAACACGGGAAACCUCACCAGGCCCAGACACCGGAAGGAUUGACAGAUUGAUAGCUCUUUCUUGAUUCGGUGGGUGGUGGUGCAUGGCCGUUCUUAGUUGGUGGAGCGAUUUGUCUGGUUAAUUCCGAUAACGAACGAGACUCUAGCCUGCUAAAUAGGCGUACCUUAUGGUAUCGCGAAGGCCCCCGGCUUCGGCCGGUGGGUUUUUACUACCAACGUACAAACAAAUCUUCUUAGAGGGACAGGCGG
RNAcentral lists this ribosomal RNA (819 nucleotides) under uncultured eukaryote. Its description in RNAcentral is "SSU rRNA". It matches the Rfam family "Eukaryotic small subunit ribosomal RNA", at positions 629 to 1426 of the family's 1831-position model. The record is from RNAcentral.